AGGAUUGAACUACAGCUGCUGGUUCGAGCCUGGAGUCUGCCCGCCUAGAGGACUGGUCUGCAGCUGCUGAGUUGUAUUUGGUGUUUGCUGUGGGACUGAACUGCUGCCCAAGAAGAUCGAGCUCGCCCCCCACGGACUAUUGGCUGGACAGGUUCACUUCCCCUAUAUCCUAAUGGUUUUUCUCUUCCAUGACCUCUGCUGGGUGGUGGGCUAGAGGAGAGGUUGAUAUCUUAUUAAAAGUAGGUUGAAAAUAUGCCUACAGGCUGGGGGCAUGGCUCAGACUCUGAGUUCCAUCUACAGCACUGAAUAAAACAGUAAAAAGAUUUUAAAACCAA
Molecule: long non-coding RNA, 335 nt
Filed under: Rattus norvegicus (Norway rat)
Lineage: Eukaryota; Metazoa; Chordata; Mammalia; Rodentia; Muridae
Description: long non-coding RNA NONRATT011356
Source: RNAcentral